RNAcentral lists this ribosomal RNA (373 nucleotides) under uncultured bacterium. Its description in RNAcentral is "bacterial SSU rRNA". It matches the Rfam family "Bacterial small subunit ribosomal RNA", at positions 523 to 898 of the family's 1533-position model. The record is from RNAcentral.
ACACGUAGGGGGCAAGCGUUGUUCGGAAUUACUGGGCGUAAAGGGCAUGUAGGCGGUUUUGUAAGCCUGACGUGAAAGGCUGCAGCUUAACUGUAGCACUGCGCUGGGAACUGCGAGACUGGAGUCACGGAGAGGUAGCUAGAAUUCCAGGUGUAGGGGUGAAAUCUGUAGAUAUCUGGAAGAAUACCAAUGGCGAAGGCAAGCUUCUGGCCGAUGACUGACGCUGAGGUGCGAAAGCGUGGGUAGCAAACAGGAUUAGAUACCCUGGUAGUCCACGCGGUAAACGAUGCACACUAGGUGCCGGGGCGGACGCUUCGGUGCCGGAGCUAACGUGGUAAGUGUGCCGCCUGGGGAGUAUGCUCGCAAGGGUGAA